UGUCCUGUGUUCCUAGUCUGAAUCCAUU
RNAcentral lists this non-coding RNA (28 nucleotides) under Homo sapiens (human). Lineage: Eukaryota; Metazoa; Chordata; Mammalia; Primates; Hominidae. The record is from RNAcentral.